UACGUAGGGUGCGAGCGUUAAUCGGAAUUACUGGGCGUAAAGCGUGCGCAGGCGGUGAUGUAAGACCGAUGUGAAAUCCCCGAGCUUAACCUGGGAACUGCAUUGGUGACUGCAUCGCUCGAGUAUGGCAGAGGGGGGUAGAAUUCCACGUGUAGCAGUGAAAUGCGUAGAGAUGUGGAGGAAUACCGAUGGCGAAGGCAGCCCCCUGGGUCAAUACUGACGCUCAUGCACGAAAACGUGGGGAGCAAACAGG
RNAcentral lists this ribosomal RNA (253 nucleotides) under uncultured bacterium. RNAcentral's name for it is "partial 16S ribosomal RNA". It matches the Rfam family "Bacterial small subunit ribosomal RNA", at positions 524 to 776 of the family's 1533-position model. The record is from RNAcentral.